AGUAAGGAAUAUUGGACAAUGGAGGCAACUCUGAUCCAGCCAUGCCGCGUGAAGGAUUAAGGCCCUAUGGGUUGUAAACUUCUUUUAGACGGGACAAAACCCCUUUACGUGUAAAGGGUUGAUGGUACUGUCAGAAUAAGCAUCGGCUAACUUCGUGCCAGCAGCCGCGGUAAUACGAAGGAUGCAAGCGUUAUCCGGAAUUAUUGGGUUUAAAGGGUGCGUAGGCGGACUAAUAAGUCAGUGAUGAAAGCCUGCAGCUUAACUGCAGAAUUGCCGUUGAUACUGUUAGUCUUGAGUACAGUUGAGGUAGGCGGAAUGUGUCAUGUAGCGGUGAAAUGCUUAGAUAUGACACAGAACACCGAUUGCGAAGGCAGCUUGCUAAGCUGUAACUGACGCUGAGGCACGAAAGCGUGGGGAGCAAACAGGAUUAGAUACCCUGGUAGUCCACGCCCUAAACGAUGAUAACUCGCUGUUGGCGAUACACUGUCAGCAGCCAAGCGAAAGCAUUAAGUUAUCCACCUGGGGAGUACGACCGCAAGGUUGAAACUCAAA
RNAcentral lists this ribosomal RNA (552 nucleotides) under uncultured bacterium. RNAcentral's name for it is "bacterial SSU rRNA". It matches the Rfam family "Bacterial small subunit ribosomal RNA", at positions 353 to 905 of the family's 1533-position model. The record is from RNAcentral.